This 990-nucleotide long non-coding RNA is filed under the name Homo sapiens (human). RNAcentral describes it as "POLH antisense RNA 1 (POLH-AS1)". Lineage: Eukaryota; Metazoa; Chordata; Mammalia; Primates; Hominidae. The record is from RNAcentral.
GGGUGACACCAAAAAAAUCAGUGUUGCAUAUGGAAACUAAAAAAAAAGAAAGUUAUGUAAUAAGAUGUGGUACAGAAAGGUAAGACCAAAGAACACCUUUCUUAUUAUGAUAAUUAAAUUUCUGACUCUGGUCCCAGAAUAAUAAAAUAUCAAAUAUCAAAAGCUUAUGUACCAUGAUUUUGCUUCCUCUAUAAGUGGCACAUCUUUAUUGUCCAUUAUAUUUUGUCCAAAGAACUAAAGGAUCUGCAGCCUCUAGCUUGACAUACUUUGCAUUAUCAGGAUCAGAAAAUAAAAUAAUUCCUUAAGUCACAAGCUUCCCUGGGCAGUUUUACUACUACUCUUCUGCACAACACAUUAAAGGCAUUUUAUGCAAUUGUUCAGCAGCAAAAGCAAAGUUUACAUGUUACAUCUUUUUUUUUUUUUUCUUUUUUUUUUUUGAGACAGAGUCUUGCUCUGUCGCCACCCAGGCUGGAGUACAGUGGCUUACACCUGUAAUGCCAGCACUUUGGGAGGCCAAGGCAGGUGGAUCAUUUGAGGUCAGGAGUUCCAGACCUGCCUGGCCAACAUGGUGAAACCCCAUCUCUACUAAAAAUACAAAAAUUAGCAGCGUGUAGUGGAUACAUGCCUGUAAUCCCAGCUACUUGGGAGGCUGGGGCAGGAGAACUGCUUGAACCCUGGAGGCGGAGGUUGCAGCGAGCUGAGAUCAUGCCACUGCACUCCAGCCAGGGCGACAGAGUGACGCUCCAUCUCAAAAUAAAGAAAUGAAAUGAAAUGAAAUGAAAAGGAAAGAAAGAAAAAAGAAAGAAAGAAAGAAAGGGAAAGAAAGAAAAGAAAGGAAGGGAGGAAGGAAGGAAAGAAGGAAGGAAGGAAAGACAGACAUCUAAGAUAUAUCAAAUGUAUCUGUGGGUACAAGAGGGUAGGUGCGGCACAGAGGGAGUGGGAAAAUCACUAUAAAGGGUAAAAGUAGCAAAAUACAAUGAGAGGGGCCUU